CCAAGCCAUCGAUCUGUAGCUGGUCUGAGAGGACGACCAGCCACACUGGGACUGAGAGACGGCCCAGACUCCUACGGGAGGCAGCAGUGGGGAAUUUUGGACAAUGGGCGCAAGCCUGAUCCAGCCAUGCCGCGUGCGGGAAGAAGGCCUUCGGGUUGUAAACCGCUUUUGUCAGGGAAGAAACGCUCUGGGCUAAUACCCCGGGGUAAUGACGGUACCUGAAGAAUAAGCACCGGCUAACUACGUGCCAGCAGCCGCGGUAAUACGUAGGGUGCAAGCGUUAAUCGGAAUUACUGGGCGUAAAGCGUGCGCAGGCGGUUGUGCAAGACAGGUGUGAAAUCCCCGGGCUUAACCUGGGAACUGCACUUGUGACUGCACGGCUAGAGUGCGGCAGAGGGGGAUGGAAUUCCGCGUGUAGCAGUGAAAUGCGUAGAUAUGCGGAGGAACACCGAUGGCGAAGGCAAUCCCCUGGGCCUGCACUGACGCUCAUGCACGAAAGCGUGGGGAGCAAACAGGAUUAGAUACCCUGGUAGUCCACGCCCUAAACGAUGUCAACUGGUUGUUGGGAGGGUUUCUUCUCAGUAACGUAGCUAACGCGUGAAGUUGACCGCCUGGGGAGUACGGCCGCAAGGUUG
Molecule: ribosomal RNA, 635 nt
Filed under: uncultured Pseudomonadota bacterium
Lineage: Bacteria; Pseudomonadati; Pseudomonadota
Description: bacterial SSU rRNA
Rfam family: Bacterial small subunit ribosomal RNA
Source: RNAcentral